This is a long non-coding RNA of Frieseomelitta varia, 567 nucleotides long. RefSeq lists it as uncharacterized. NCBI's taxonomy places the organism in Eukaryota, Metazoa, Arthropoda, Insecta, Hymenoptera, Apidae. The transcript has 3 exons. The record is from RefSeq and is a predicted model, not a curated record.
UAAUAAUAAUAAUAACAAUUAGAAAAAGAAAAUGCAUUCCACUACGCAGAUAUAACUGAAUGUUUUUUUUUUCUCCCUUUCAGCAUACUUAACUCUAUUUUCUCUCUUUCUCUCACUCACUCACUCACUCUCUCUCUCUCUCUCUCUUCUUCCCUUUCUUUCUCCAUUUUUUUUUCAACCUUUCUUCUUACUCUCUCAUUCUACUUUGUACACAUUGCAUAAAUAAGUAAGAGCAGCAAGUUGUCUAACGUCUACAACUUGAUAAAAAAAAAACCUACGCGUAAAAAUAUUUACAAUAUUUAUAUAUAUAUAUAUAUAUAUAUAUGUGCGUGUGUGUGUGUGUGUGUGAACCACUUGUAUUGUUACAGCAAAUCGAUUGCGACGGUUUAAAAGUUCCCAGAUCUUUUGCGAAAUGGUGAGGCGGAGCAACUUCGAGAACGUGCAUCUCGCGAUCAGUAUCGGCCGUAAACGAUGGAAAAAUGGCAGUUGCCCGCGACAACGCGCAGUAAGUAACGAACGAAGAUGGAGACGGAAGAGAAACGCAAGAGCACACGUCUGAACGUCCAG